AUGUGCCGCCGUGGGGCUGUCUGGGCCGGGAGGAUUCCAGCCCAGCCCAGAGUAAUUGUUAGCAGAGGUGGGCAAGACAGGGCUGGGGGAGGGAAGGCACAGCCCCCGGGGGCCUUGGUGACCUGGAAAGGGGGCAGUGAGACGGGGCACCAAGACGGAGCAAAGCGAGACAGAGGAGACCAAGGGGACUGCGGAAGGCGGAACCAGGGCUGGGGGGACAGCAACAGGGGCCAGGGGGUCCUAACCCCAAAAGAGGACUCAACAGAGCGGCGAGAGGGGGCGCCAGGGAGAAGCAGAGGUGGUGGGCGGCAGAGAGACAGUGCCAAGUGGAGCGAGAAGGAGGCUGAGAAAAUUUCAGGGCAGCAGGAGCUGGUAAGAUGCGCCGGCCGUGGGCAGCCUUGGCGCAGCCAGAGCCCCGGCGGUCCCACCAGAGGAGAGGAGCGCCUGGCCCAGGCCCCAGCCUGCUCUCCGGCCCCUACCCUCCUGGGCUGCAGGGCCUCAGAGGCCCUGGUCCCCUCCUCUCCCUGCCGCCUCACGCACCCUCCUUCCCUCCUCGAGCCCCUGUUUCUCCACCAGCAGAGGGGCUGGGCUUGGAGACCACCAGGGCUCCGUCCAGGGUGUGUCUGUCGCCUGCCACGCCCCCUCCAUGCCUUCACUCCUCUUCACCUGGCCCCCGUCUUCCCUUCCAUCCGUCUAUCUGUCCUUCCGUCUCCCUUCCCUCCCUCUGCCCCCUCUCCUCACCCCCUGUUCCAUUCUCCGUCUUCCCUUCUUCCCUGCUCACUGCUGCCUGCCUUGUUCCAGGUACUGGGCCUCUGGGUGGACCCUUUGGGAUCCCUGCGUCUGGUGGCACAGGCCUGGGACAAGCAGAGGGGGGUCAGACCCCGGGCACGGAGGCCCCCGUCCUCAGCAGGGCUCCAGCUCCUGCCACUCAGCCCGACCCCAUGUGUACCCAAGGCCGGCUGUGGACAAACUGCGUCCCAAAUCCCAGAGGCUGACACCGGGGCCGUGGUCCGAGUGUUUGAGCCCCGCCACCCUUCCUGUGUUGACACCCUAACCCGCGGUGUGAUGGGGUUAGGAGGUGGGCAGCUUUGGCAAUGA
RNAcentral lists this long non-coding RNA (1098 nucleotides) under Oryctolagus cuniculus (rabbit). RNAcentral's name for it is "lncRNA (ENSOCUG00000032238.1)". Lineage: Eukaryota; Metazoa; Chordata; Mammalia; Lagomorpha; Leporidae. The record is from RNAcentral.